CGCACGGGUGAGUAACACGUAUGCAACCUGCCUGCCACAGCCGGAUAAUCGGGAGAAAUUCCGUCUAAUACGGCAUAAUGCAUCGACGGGACAUCCUGUUGGUGCCAAAGGUUAAUUCCGGUGGCGGAUGGGCAUGCGUCGCAUUAGUUAGUUGGCGGUGUAACGGACCACCAAGACGACGAUGCGUAGGGGUUCUGAGAGGAAGGUCCCCCACACUGGUACUGAGACACGGACCAGACCCCUACGGGAGGCAGCAG
RNAcentral lists this ribosomal RNA (257 nucleotides) under uncultured bacterium. RNAcentral's name for it is "partial 16S ribosomal RNA". It matches the Rfam family "Bacterial small subunit ribosomal RNA", at positions 99 to 354 of the family's 1533-position model. The record is from RNAcentral.